GAAAAAUAAUAGGGAUAGAAGGUAAUUAAGAUCUUACACUAUGGGAUUUAUGUAAAUUAUACAAUAAUUAAAGCAUUCAAAGUAAGAAAGAGGGAGAGAGAUUUGGGUCCAAAUUGGGUUUUUGUCCGCUUUGAUCGAAAUUUUGGACCCACCUGUUUGGGCUUUUGACCCAUUUAUAUUUUUAGGCCUUCAACCCACUUCUUUAUUAGGUCUUAGGCCCAUUGUACCUGUACCUAAAUCUUUUAAAAUCUCCCGACUUGCUUCAGAUUCUUCAACUUCAAAACUGUUCGCCUUUUAUGCGGGUUGAAUCGAAA
Molecule: unclassified non-coding RNA, 314 nt
Filed under: Hevea brasiliensis (rubber tree)
Lineage: Eukaryota; Viridiplantae; Streptophyta; Magnoliopsida; Malpighiales; Euphorbiaceae
Source: RNAcentral